ACUUAGUGGAAAACUUAACAACUCGAGACGGUAAGAAGGAAACUAAGGAGUAGAAGAAGAAGGGUGAAAAGAUGAAAGAAAUUUCACCACAUGCAGGGAAAGGGUAACUCGCCUGCACUAGAAAACCCACUAGACCCCUUCAACUUCG
Molecule: non-coding RNA, 148 nt
Filed under: unclassified sequences
Description: IMES-5 RNA
Rfam family: IMES-5 RNA
Source: Rfam by way of RNAcentral